UACAACUUUCGAGCAACGGAUCUCUUGCKCUCGCAUCGAUGAAGAACGCAGCGAAAUGCGAUAAGUAAUGUGAAUUGCAGAAUUCAGUGAAUCAUCGAAUCUUGAA
RNAcentral lists this ribosomal RNA (106 nucleotides) under Coprinus comatus. RNAcentral's name for it is "partial 5.8S ribosomal RNA". It matches the Rfam family "5.8S ribosomal RNA", at positions 1 to 104 of the family's 154-position model. From Rfam's summary of the family: 5.8S ribosomal RNA (5.8S rRNA) is a component of the large subunit of the eukaryotic ribosome. It is transcribed by RNA polymerase I as part of the 45S precursor that also contains 18S and 28S rRNA. Lineage: Eukaryota; Fungi; Basidiomycota; Agaricomycetes; Agaricales; Agaricaceae. The record is from RNAcentral.